RNAcentral lists this transfer RNA (75 nucleotides) under Halorubrum vacuolatum. It matches the Rfam family "tRNA". Rfam says of the family: Transfer RNA (tRNA) molecules are approximately 80 nucleotides in length. Lineage: Archaea; Methanobacteriati; Methanobacteriota; Halobacteria; Halobacteriales; Haloferacaceae. The record is from Rfam by way of RNAcentral.
GGGUUGGUGGUCUAGUCCGGUUAUGACGCCGCCUUCACACGGCGGAGAUCGGCGGUUCAACUCCGCCCCGACCCA